GCCUGCGCCGGCGGGUCAGCGCCGGCUCCUGUUUGCAGGCGCCCCCUCCCCACCCGGCUGCCCAGCCGCUGUCAGCACGGGCCGUCGGUGUCGCCGCCGCCGCGAGGCCGAGCGCAGCCGGGCCCGAGGCAGGGGACCCCGCGAGAGGGCAGCGCGCCGGCCGCCGCCGCCCUGGCGCCGAGGGUCGCGCCGUCCCUUUGCCCAGAGGUGCUGGGAGAGUCAUGCCAGCGAGUCCCGGGCCCCUCCUGAUGUCCCGUGAGGCAUCCGUCACCCCGCUGCACUCAAGAGGCCCACAGGCCCCACCCCAGGGCCCUGGUCACAGAACUGCCUCCUUUCGGCCAGUCCUGCCAUAGCCCCAGAGGGCGACCACGGCCAGGAGCCUCUCCCAGGACCCAGGACCGUGAGCACCAGGGGACUCUCUCCACUCCCCCCCCCACCGC
Long non-coding RNA from Lontra canadensis (Northern American river otter), 440 nucleotides. RefSeq lists it as uncharacterized. The transcript has 3 exons. Lineage: Eukaryota; Metazoa; Chordata; Mammalia; Carnivora; Mustelidae. The record is from RefSeq and is a predicted model, not a curated record.